This 471-nucleotide ribosomal RNA is filed under the name Zeugodacus depressus (pumpkin fruit fly). RNAcentral's name for it is "partial large subunit ribosomal RNA". It matches the Rfam family "Bacterial large subunit ribosomal RNA", at positions 1841 to 2568 of the family's 2925-position model. The record is from RNAcentral. Lineage: Eukaryota; Metazoa; Arthropoda; Insecta; Diptera; Tephritidae.
UUUUUUUAAGUCUGACCUGCCCACUGAAAUUUUUAAAUGGCCGCAGUAUUCUAACUGUGCAAAGGUAGCAUAAUCAUUAGUCUUUUAAUUGAAGGCUGGUAUGAACGGUUGGACGAGGUAUAAGCUGUUUCAUAUAAAUUUAUAGUAGAAUUUUAUAUUUUAGUCAAAAAGCUAAAAUAUUGUUAAAAGACGAGAAGACCCUAUAAAUCUUUAUAUUUUUUAUUAUUUAAGUUUUUUGGGUUGAUUUUAUUUUUAUAGUAAAAAAUAUUUUGUUGGGGUGAUGUUAAAAUUUAAUGAACUUUUAAUAAUUUAAAAUCAUUAAUUUAUGAUUUAUUGAUCCAUUAUUAGUGAUUAUAAGAUUAAGUUACUUUAGGGAUAACAGCGUAAUUUUUUUGGAGAGUUCAUAUCGAUAAAAAAGUUUGCGACCUCGAUGUUGGAUUAAGAUAUAAUUUUAGGUGUAGCCGCUUAAAU